This 368-nucleotide unclassified non-coding RNA is filed under the name Hevea brasiliensis (rubber tree). The record is from RNAcentral. Lineage: Eukaryota; Viridiplantae; Streptophyta; Magnoliopsida; Malpighiales; Euphorbiaceae.
UGAAUUCAUGGUGAAUUGGGAUGGCUUGCGUACAAAGGACAAGGAGCGAGUUCUUGUACUUGCUGCAACUAAUAGACCAUUCGACCUUGAUGAAGCAGUUAUUAGGAGACUUCCACGGAGGUUGAUGGUAAACUUGCCAGAUGCUCCGAACAGGGAGAAAAUUUUGAGAGUGAUAUUGGCCAAGGAAGAGUUAACGCCAAAUGUUGAUCUGGAAGCUAUAGCAAAUAUGACUGAAGGGUAUUCCGGAAGUGAUUUAAAGAAUUUAUGUGUCACAGCUGCUCAUUGCCCAAUUAGAGAAAUAUUGGAGAAAGAGAAAAAGGAAAAAGCAUUGGCAGUUUCAGAUAGCAGGCCAGUCCCUGCAUUGCAUA